AUGCCAAGGGGCAGAGCUCUAAUAAAUACCAUAAAAACGAGUAACCAGAGAGGCAAUACGCCUGGCUCCAGCCUGGACCGUCUUGCUCCGUGGAAUAGGGCUUCACAGCUCCACCUGAGACCCUUCCGAUCUCCUACUUCCAAGGUGAUUGGGGGGCAGUGCCCACACUCAAGCAUAGUAUCUCCAAUAGAUCCCAUUGCUGUAGAACCAGGUUCACUGUGUGACCCUGGGAAGGCCUCUUCCCCUCCUUGGCUUGUUUGCUUAUCUGUUAGCCAAGGGGCUUCUAAGCCCACUUCCUAGCUGACACUCUGGUUACACGGAUCUCUGGGCCUCAGUGGACACUUGCUUCUUGAGAGGAAAGGUGGUCCUCCUCCCCUCCCCCAUCUCUCUCUGGUGACCUGUGCCCCCAACCUCACCAGCAAAAGAGGAGUCAGAAGAUAUAUGCCCUAAAGACUCUCUUCACAGGUACUCAGGAGAUGCCUGGAGGGACAAGACACUGGGUGGUAGGAAAAGAAUCUCUCUAAUAGGUCGAGUAGGUAUUUUUCUCCUGGCCUAGGAUGGAGAGAAGGGAAAGGAAGAGCCAGAGGUUGAACCUGAUACCCAAACCCAAUCAGAUCCUAACCUGAACCAGCAUCCAGUCCUGAGUCUACUCCAGGCAAGAUACGAAGACAAAGAGAGGCCAGGAUCACACUUUCCUUUCUCUCUAGACCGGGCUCCACGUAGCUAUUUCUGUUGGAAACUGGAGAUGGGCUUGGCAGGAGAGCUUGCAAAGAGAGAGAUUCAAGCUUCAGACAGGGGCUAGAUUUGCUGACUGCUAAAGCCCCUUCCGGUCCUGGCACUAUGGGAAGCAGCCCCCGGACCGGGCCAUCGGGGUUGCUGAAAUAGCUAUGGUGGCCACUUUGCCUGUCGCCGUGCAGAGCCCCUGCCGUCUGAGGGCCCAGUUUCCAAGGCAGGAUGCCCAUAUGGGUCACGGUCAGCCUCACCACCACCCCCACCACCACUCACCCUCCCCAUGCAUGCACUUCCAGAUCCCUGUUUAUGGAGGAGGGAGAGGCAGGCAGGCUGGGGAAACAGCCAUUUCUAUGCUAACUGCCCACAUGUGGCCUGAGGGUUGGAAAAUGAAACUGCAAAAAUGCUCAGAAAUCAGUGAAGCUGGAGUCCCUGAGCCCUGAAGGCUGAGAAGAACCCCGGCCACCUGGGUCUGACCUGGAUCGAAGCCCUGGCCCUGGACACUGAGGGCCCAUCAGGCUGCGGGAAGGGCUGCUGGCCCUGGAAACCAGUGACCAGCGUGACUCCACUUAGAACACCGCUGUGUUCAAAAAGCGGAGAAAGCGCAUGACCCCUCCGCACAGCCGGGACCGCACACGGCCAGCUUGCCCCCUCCUUUUCCAAACCCACCCUCGGACAGGAGGCCGGGAUGCCCAGUGGAAGAAGUACAAGUGGGACUCGGGAGAUGGGCUCUGCCAGGAUAUCUGCAAGAUAUCCCCACUCUGGGCCUCAGUUUCUCCAUAAGGGGUUAGCCUAUGUGACCCCAUGGGCUCUUCCCACACAGCAUCCCCCUGGCAGGAGAUCUGGCAGACCCGUUCACAGUGAGGUGCAUGCAAAUGGUAAGGCUGAAGUAUUUCCUUUCCCAAUUUAGGAGGAAAAUGUCUAUCACAAGGAACAAAGAGACGACGACAGAACUUCAGGUAAGAGAAUAAGCUGGUCUGCUCACCCUCUUGAGGAAAUUGGCCAAAGAUGUCCUCUGACAAAAAUGAAAGGUGUGACCUAGCAUAGAAACUUGAACCUCACUAUUUGGCCGAAGUCACUCCCAAAAAUAGGGAGGAGGAAGGAGUUGGCCAUUGGCCCAGGCCCCCACCCUCUCGAGGACAACCCCAAAGCAAGUGUCCCCAGAUACCUUCGUGCCUCUCACCCACCGUCAGUCUUGUGGUCUCAGGGUCUAGUGAGGGCAAGGGGGCUGGCUGCUUCCUGCCAAUGCCAUGGCCUUUAGCAGGGCUUGGGCAGGGGGUCCUGCACACCACACCUGGUAUGCAAGGGAUACUAGAUUAAAUAAACACUAAGCGCCAAAUUGCA
This 2073-nucleotide long non-coding RNA is filed under the name Felis catus (domestic cat). RNAcentral's name for it is "lncRNA (ENSFCAG00000053377.1)". The record is from RNAcentral. Lineage: Eukaryota; Metazoa; Chordata; Mammalia; Carnivora; Felidae.